UACGUAGGGUGCAAGCGUUGUCCGGAAUUAUUGGGCGUAAAGAGCUCGUAGGCGGUUUGUCGCGUCUGCUGUGAAAACGCGAGGCUCAACCUCGCGCCUGCAGUGGGUACGGGCAGACUAGAGUGCGGUAGGGGAGAUUGGAAUUCCUGGUGUAGCGGUGGAAUGCGCAGAUAUCAGGAGGAACACCGAUGGCGAAGGCAGAUCUCUGGGCCGUAACUGACGCUGAGGAGCGAAAGCAUGGGUAGCAAACAGG
Molecule: ribosomal RNA, 253 nt
Filed under: uncultured bacterium
Lineage: Bacteria
Description: partial 16S ribosomal RNA
Rfam family: Bacterial small subunit ribosomal RNA
Source: RNAcentral